Molecule: ribosomal RNA, 475 nt
Filed under: uncultured bacterium
Lineage: Bacteria
Description: partial 16S ribosomal RNA
Rfam family: Bacterial small subunit ribosomal RNA
Source: RNAcentral
GAUGAACGCUAGCGGCAGGCCUAACACAUGCAAGUCGAGGGAGGAGCCUUCGGGCUUCGACCGGCGUACGGGUGCGUAACGCGUAUACAAUCUGCCUUUCACAUAGGGAUAGCCCGAAGAAAUUUGGAUUAAUACCUAAUGGUAUAUAGAUGUGGCAUCACCUUUAUAUUAAAGCUGAGGCGGUGAAAGAUGAGUAUGCGUUCUAUUAGCUAGUUGGAGAGGUAACGGCUCCCCAAGGCGACGAUAGAUAGGGGUUCUGAGAGGGAUAUCCCCCACACUGGUACUGAGAUACGGACCAGACUCCUACGGGAGGCAGCAGUGAGGAAUAUUGGACAAUGGUCGGAAGACUGAUCCAGCCAUGCCGCGUGCAGGAAGACGGCCUUAUGGGUUGCAAACUGCUUUUGCAGGGGAAGAAUAAGGACUACGCGUAGUUUGAUGACGGUACUCUGCGAAUAAGCAUCGGCUAACUCCGUGC